CGGGGAAGGGCUCUGGGCCCCACCUGAGGAACAGAGCAGAUGUUGCUUGCAAGUGGCUUCCUGUUUCAUGGAGCAUUUCCGCCUGUAAAAUGGCAUCUGAAAAGACCGAGCUGAGCACAGAGCCCUAGGACCUGUCACUGUCACUAGAGACCUCCCUUCAGCUUCCAGAACCACUUGGAGGGACCAGGAAGUCUGUGACUGUGCCACGUGGCACCAUGAAGUCCCCAUCCUCCUGGACCCAAAUGCCUGUUCACAGACCUCUUGAAUUCCAUCCAUGGACCCUGGCCACCCCUUGUGUCACAUUUCCUUAAGAAACCACUGCUAAUCCGGUCCAGACUGUUGAGGGAGGAAGAAACUCAAAUGGUAUCCAAACUCAGGACACACUGCCACAUGUGUGCAACAAAUGUGGCUUCAGUCACUCAGACACGGAGCAGAGAACUUGGUAAUUUAUCUCUUCCCCAUUCCAGGCUCCUGGAGGCUCCCUUUGUUUCUCUGCUUCUCAGCUAAGAACAUUAGAGCCUGACACUCAAGGCAUGGUCUCCCCACCAGCACUGCCAUCUGCAUCGCCCGGGAGCUUGCUGGAAAUGCAGAAUCUUGGUCUCUACCCCCAGAUCUGUUGAAUCCAAAUCUGAAUUUUAAUCAA
This is a long non-coding RNA of Homo sapiens (human), 643 nucleotides long. The record is from Ensembl. NCBI's taxonomy places the organism in Eukaryota, Metazoa, Chordata, Mammalia, Primates, Hominidae.